Molecule: ribosomal RNA, 945 nt
Filed under: Pseudomonas sp. MS8_1A5
Lineage: Bacteria; Pseudomonadati; Pseudomonadota; Gammaproteobacteria; Pseudomonadales; Pseudomonadaceae
Description: bacterial SSU rRNA
Rfam family: Bacterial small subunit ribosomal RNA
Source: RNAcentral
GUCGAGCGGAGAAAAGCUUGUCUCGAUUCCGGCGGACGGGUGAGUAAUGCCAGAAUCUGCCUGAUUGGGGGACAACGUUUCAAAGGAACGCUAAUACCGCAACUCCUACGGAAAAGCAGGGACCUUCGGGCCUUGCGCUAUCAAUGACCUAGUCGGAUACUUUGGUGGGGUAAUGGCUCACCAAGGCACAUCCGUAACUGGCGAGAGGAUGAUCAUCCCUGGAACUGAGACACGGUCCAGACGGGAGGCAGCAGUGGGGAAUAUUGGACAAUGGGCGAAAGCCUGAUCCAGCCAUGCCGCGUGUGUGAAGAAGGUCUUCGGAUUGUAAAGCACUUUAAGUUGGGAGGAAGGGCAGUAAGCGAAUACCUUGCUGUUUUGACGUUACCGACAGAAUAAGCACCGGCUAACUCUGUGCCAGCAGCCGCGGUAAUACAGAGGGUGCAAGCGUUAAUCGGAAUUACUGGGCGUAAAGCGCGCGUAGGUGGUUUGUUAAGUUGAAUGUGAAAGCCCCGGGCUCAACCUGGGAACUGCAUCCAAAACUGGCAAGCUAGAGUACGGUAGAGGGUGGUGGAAUUUCCUGUGUAGCGGUGAAAUGCGUAGAUAUAGGAAGGAACACCAGUGGCGAAGCGACCACCUGGACUGAUACUGACACUGAGUGCGAAAGCGUGGGGAGCAACAGGAUAGAUACCCUGGUAGUCCACGCCGUAAACGAUGUCACUAGCCUUGGAAUCCUUGAGAUUUUAGUGGCGCAGCUACGCAUUAAGUUGACGCCUGGGGAGUACGGCCGCAAGGUUAAAACUCAAAUGAAUUGACGGGGGCCCGCACAAGCGGUGGACAUGUGGUUUAAUUCAAGCAACGCGAAACUUACCGCCUUGACUGCAAAAUUUCAUGGAUUGGUGGUCUGACCCUCAGGUCGCGCUCGCGGUCCCAGCGCCCUGGCGGGAC